UGCUGUUGGUGGAUGAGUGGCGAACGGGUGAGUAACACGUGAGUAACCUGCCCCUGAUUUCGGGAUAAGCCUGGGAAACUGGGUCUAAUACCGGAUACGACCUCCUGACGCAUGUUGGGUGGUGGAAAGUUUUUCGAUCGGGGAUGGGCUCGCGGCCUAUCAGCUUGUUGGUGGGGUAAUGGCCUACCAAGGCGACGACGGGUAGCCGGCCUGAGAGGGCGACCGGCCACACUGGGACUGAGACACGGCCCAGACUCCUACGGGAGGCAGCAGUGGGGAAUAUUGCACAAUGGGGGAAACCCUGAUGCAGCGACGCAGCGUGCGGGAUGACGGCCUUCGGGUUGUAAACCGCUUUCAGCAGGGAAGAAGCGAAAGUGACGGUACCUGCAGAAGAAGUACCGGCUAACUACGUGCCAGCAGCCGCGGUAAUACGUAGGGUACGAGCGUUGUCCGGAAUUAUUGGGCGUAAAGAGCUCGUAGGUGGUUGGUCACGUCUGCUGUGGAAACGCAACGCUUAACGUUGCGCGUGCAGUGGGUACGGGCUGACUAGAGUGCAGUAGGGGAGUCUGGAAUUCCUGGUGUAGCGGUGAAAUGCGCAGAUAUCAGGAGGAACACCGGUG
Molecule: ribosomal RNA, 620 nt
Filed under: Brevibacterium epidermidis
Lineage: Bacteria; Bacillati; Actinomycetota; Actinomycetes; Micrococcales; Brevibacteriaceae
Description: bacterial SSU rRNA
Rfam family: Bacterial small subunit ribosomal RNA
Source: RNAcentral